Small nucleolar RNA from Ornithorhynchus anatinus (platypus), 138 nucleotides. Lineage: Eukaryota; Metazoa; Chordata; Mammalia; Monotremata; Ornithorhynchidae. The record is from RefSeq and is a predicted model, not a curated record.
CCUCUCUCAGGAUUGCACCUGGAGAGUUUCCAGUAGCCUACCAGUCACGACUACUGGAGGGAGAGUCAAGCAGAGGCCUACCCAUUCCAUUCCUAGCUUGGCCAGUGGCUAGCGAAUGGAAGGCAAUCCGCUACAAGU